CUCGUAGGCGGCCUGUCACGUCGGAAGUGAAAACCCGGGGCUCAACCCCGGGCCUGCUUUCGAUACGGGCAGGCUUGAGUUCGGUAGGGGAGACUGGAACUCCUGGUGUAGCGGUGGAAUGCGCAGAUAUCAGGAAGAACACCGAUGGCGAAGGCAGGCCUCUGGGCCGAUACUGACGCUGAGGAGCGAAAGCGUGGGGAGCAAACA
This 207-nucleotide ribosomal RNA is filed under the name uncultured bacterium. RNAcentral describes it as "partial 16S ribosomal RNA". It matches the Rfam family "Bacterial small subunit ribosomal RNA", at positions 568 to 774 of the family's 1533-position model. The record is from RNAcentral.